Molecule: long non-coding RNA, 4533 nt
Filed under: Cucumis sativus (cucumber)
Lineage: Eukaryota; Viridiplantae; Streptophyta; Magnoliopsida; Cucurbitales; Cucurbitaceae
Description: long non-coding RNA (CSAT_LNC001968)
Source: RNAcentral
UUGGGAAUUCAUCAACAAAGCUCUCUUAAGCAUUUUAUCAAACACCUUGUCUACAACUCUUUGCCUACUUCUUACCUACGAAUUUCCUUCUUCCUUAGUUUGUUCCAACAAGUCCAAUUACUCUUAGGCUUACAUUGGUGCAACCCCAACACCUUUGUGCCGCACGUUGGUUUUGUGAUUAAAAUAACCACGUGACAGGUGGUAUCAGAGCGUGUUCGUUCAAAGGGACAUACUCUUGAUCGUUGCUAUCAAGUGCACGAUACCGAGAGACCAAGAUUCAAGACUCUAGUUCUUGAAACGUUGUCAAAGUAACGGAACACAGUUUCUACACCCACUUAUUCCCAGUUGACUUGUGAACAAGAUGUCCAGCGAAGAAGGCCACAUUUCAGCCCAAGCUGAACAGGUUCUUGAAGGACCUAUCACACGAGGUAGGAAGGACCGACGAUCCCCGACCCGACGAUCGAAAUCUAAGGGUCCGGAUGCAAGGGAGCAUGUCGAAACUCGCCUUGCCAACCUUGAGCAAAGUCUCGAGGAUGUCCAGCACACGGUAGAAGAGUUGGGUGAUAACUACGAAGAGCUUAUUCAGGAGAAUGUGGAAAUCUCCGCAGCAACCAAGGAGCUCGUGGCCGACCUUGGAAAAACAUUCCAAAAGGAUUUGAAGGAGUUGUCAUCAACCGUAACCACUUUGAAGACAUUUGUUGAAGGUGAGUUACGCGAACUCUAUUCUAAGUAUAUUUCCCUAGAUGCAAAGGUAGAUACUCUUUGCAUGGAAUGUCGUUCCAAGCACUUUGGUGGAGACGGUCCAUCCACCAGUACACACACCGCUGUGCAAGGCACUACUCACAUAAAAGUGUCGAAACCUGACACAUACAAUGGGGUGAGGAAUGCCACGGUCGUGGAAAACUUCCUCUUUGGUCUUGACCGAUACUAUGUAGCUGUCGGUGUUCGAGAUGAUGAGGCCAAGAUAAACAAUGCCCCGACAUUCCUAAGGGAUGUCGCACAACUUUGGUGGCGUCGAAGAUACGCUGACCAAAAUGGGAAUGCCAUCCAGACGUGGGAACAAUUCAAGGCCGAGCUAAGAAAGCACUUCGUUCCCCACAAUGCUGAAAUGGAGUCAAGAGCCAAACUUCGAAGGCUACGACACACAGGUAACAUUCUCGACUAUGUGAAGGAAUUUACCACUAUUAUGCUUGAAAUUAGUGAUCUGCCCGAGAAGGAAGCCCUAUUCCAAUUUAGAGAUGGAUUGAAAGAUUGGGCCAAGGUUGAGCUAGACCGUCGCAAUGUCCAAACAUUGGACGACGCUAUAGCCGCAGCUGAGAUGCUUAUCGAUUAUACAACCCAAUCAAAGGAGAGAAAACCUAGCCCAAGUAAACGUGAAGGCAAUCACUACAAGCAUAGAGACUCCGAGCAAAAGGAAAAGGGAAAGAAGGCAUUCCAAAGACAUGGCAAGUAUCACAAAACUCAACAAGGUGAGUCGUCCAAACCUUCUCCCUGUUUUGUUUGUAAUGGCCCUCAUCGGACAAGAGACUGUCCGAAUAGAAAAGCAAUGAACGCACUUGUUGCCUAAAUUACUCGAGUCCAAGCAAGGAGAUGAUACACCACAGAUUGGUUCCUUGCAACACAUUGGAGCUCUGAAACAGGCCAAUCAAACAACUAAAGGAGGCCUACUCCAUGGAAAUGUAAAGAUAAACGGGAGAGAGGCUAUUGCCAUGUUUGACACCGGUGCGAGUCAUAACUUCAUGAACGUGAAUGAGGCUAAGAGAAUAGGCCUCAAGUUCACAAACGAAGAGGGGACUGUCAAGGCGGUAAACUCAGAAGCACAAGCCAUCAAAGGUGUAGCAAGAGGUGUAACAGUCAAGAUCGGUGAUUGGCAAGGUAAGCUCGACUUCACCGUGCUACCUAUGGAUGACUUUGACAUCGUGCUUGGCUUAGGGUUCUUCGAUAGAGUAAUUGCUAUCGUUGACUCCUCCGGAUGUACCCUGACGAUAGUGGAUGGUCAAAUAACGACCAUCCCACUAAAGAAGGGAAAACCAACAAUCAGAUUGUCAGCCAUGCUGAGUAAGGAGGGAGUCGCCGAAACCCAACAUCAAACAGUACCGUCGAGAGAGACAAAUUCUAAACCAACAGUCCCAGCAUAACACAAGGACGUUAUGCUCGAGGCAAAAUCAGGAAACGCCGAUGCACUCAAUAACGUCGUAAGCCAGAAGGCAAAACUGACUGCUAUAACCACCAGCAUGCCCAGGAGUGAUUUCCUUGACAAAAUCAAGGAAGGGAUGAAGAAUGAUGCGACAGCCAAGAACUUAUUGAAGUUGGCCAAGGAAGGUAAAACCAGACGCUUUUGGGAGAGCGAUGAUGCCCUCCUUACAAUUGGAAACCGGUUGUUCGUGCCACGAUGGGGAUCCUUACGGAAGGAUAUUUUAAAGGAGUGUCAUGAUUCUUUAUGGGUCGGACACCCAGGUAUGAAUCGAACCCUUGCCCUUAUUCAUGACAAAUAUUACUGGCCGAAAAUGCAAGACGAUAUUGAAGCCUAUGUCAAGACUUGUCUAAUAUGUCAACAAGACAAGGGGGAACAGCAACUCCCAGCAGGGUUACUUGAACCCUUGCCUAUAGCGGAAAAACCUUGGGAUAGUGUUACAAUGGACUUCAUUGUAGCCUUACCUAAGUCCCAAGGGUUUGGAAGCAUCAUGGUAGUGGUGGAUAGAUUCAGCAAGUAUGCAACAUUUAUUCCAUGCUCACCAGAUGUGAAAGUCGAUGAAGCUGCUAGGCUGUUCUUCAAAAAUGUUGUGAAGUUAUGGGGAGUACCUAAAAGCAUCAUCAGCAAUCGAGACCCCCGCUUCACAGGCAAGUUUUGGCGAGAACUCUUUAAACUUGUGGGGACAGAACUAAACUUCUCUACUAGUUUCCAUCCCCAGAGCGACGGCCAAACGGAACGAGUAAAUGCCUUACUGGAGCACUACCUAAGGCAUUAUGUCAGUGCACACCAAAAGAAUUGGGCAACUCUCAUCGAUAUAGCCCAGUUUUCUUAUAACCUUCAAAGGAGUGAGGCUACCGGAAAGAGCCCCUUUGAAAUAGUCAUGAAUCAACAACCCAACACUCCUAGUGCCUUGAUUAUUCCAUAUGAAGGACCCAAUCCAACGGCAUACAAGUUUGCGAAGGAAUGGCACGAAGAAUGUGAUAUAUCGAGGGCAUGCCUGGCGAAGGCCGCCACUAAAAUGAAAAAGUGGGCGGACCGGAAAAGGAGGGCUAGAGAGUACCAAGUAGGGGAAAAAGUAAUGGUAAAGCUGCUACCUAACCAAUUUAAAUCCCUACCCAAGGUACAUAAAGGCCUAAUCCGAAGAUACGAAGAACCCUUCUCUAUCAUCGAGAAAGUGGGCAAAGCAGCUUACCGAUUGGAACUUCCUCCCAGACUGAAGAUCCAUAAUGUCUUCCAUGUGAGCAUGUUGAAGCCUUUCUAUGAAGACAAGGAGGAUCCAAGCAGAGGUGAGUCCUCUCGUGCACCUACCAGCAUGAUCUCAGAGUUCGACAGGAAAAUCAAGGAGAUCUUAGCAGAGAGGAAGAUACGAAGGAGAGGAGUUCCUAGUUAUAACGAAUAUUUAAUUGCUUGGGAAGGACUACCCGAAAGCGAAGCAAGUUCGGAAAAGGAGGACACCCUAUGGCAAUUUCAAGAUGAAAUCAGGAGAUUUCAAGAAAGCGCAACGGGGACGUUGCGAAAUCGAGUGGGGGAGGGUGUCACGCCCCAAAAAUGACCCAACAAAUUUUUCGCAAAUUAAGGCUCCUUAGCAUUGCCCAAGAGGAGCCAACCAAGUCCCAAGCAGUCCAAAGACCCAAGGAAGAGGAACAGGUUCACGCCAAGCCUAUGACACGCCAAUGUGCAGAGCGAGACUGGCGCGCGCGGCCCUGUCAUGACAUGGGCGCGCGCGCGUGCAAGGGCGGCAGGCAGACAAGCGGACGCGCACGGCAGCAUGGGCGCGCGCAAGGCCAGUCGGACGCGCGCGCUACACUAGCGCGCGCAGGAAGCGGACACGGAGCGCACGGAGCGCGCAGAGAAGCAUCCGGGAACCUCUAGAAGUUUCCAGAAGAAUCGCGAGCGGUCGGAAGGCUCGCGAACACGCGCGAAAGCGCGCGCGCGCCAGACGACGCCAGACGGCCCCAGACGCCUCCAGAAGCUUCUGGACAGUGUCAUGAGCGCUCGAGAAUGUUCCAGAUUGCUUUUGCCGACCUUGUAAGGCGGUUUAGGGCUUGUAAAUAGGUUGUAUACUUCUAUAAAUACCCCAAAGGGGUCCAUUAAGGGGUCCAUUUGUACAGACAACACAGAAUCCUUGGAAAUUCAUCAACAAAGCUCUCUUAAGCAUUUUAUCAAACACCUUGUCUACAACUCUUUGCCUACUUCUUACCUACGGAUUUCCUUCUUCCUUAGUUUGUUCCAACAAGUCCAAUUACUCUUAGGCUUACAUUGGUGCAACCCCAACACCUUUGUGCCGCACGUUGGUUUUGUGAUCAAAAUAACCACGUGACAAUAAGUAAACUUAAAAC